Nanorana parkeri is the source of this 107-nucleotide long non-coding RNA. RefSeq lists it as uncharacterized. NCBI's taxonomy places the organism in Eukaryota, Metazoa, Chordata, Amphibia, Anura, Dicroglossidae. The record is from RefSeq and is a predicted model, not a curated record. The transcript has 4 exons.
CAAUAAAUGUAUUCACAAAUUCAGGAUUUGGAGAGUUAUGACGAUGUUCCAGAAGAAGAUGACAUGACUGUAUUUGAAUAAAUGUACAGUAUAUUUCUUAGCAAAUA